RNAcentral lists this ribosomal RNA (2632 nucleotides) under human gut metagenome. RNAcentral's name for it is "bacterial LSU rRNA". It matches the Rfam family "Bacterial large subunit ribosomal RNA". The record is from RNAcentral.
UCAAGCUACAAAGGGCGCAUGGUGAAUGCCUUGGCAUCAGGAGCCGAUGAAGGACGUGAUAAGCUGCGAUAAGCUUCGGGUAGGCGCACAUAGCCUGAGAUCCGAAGAUCUCCGAAUGAGGAAACUCACAUGGGAAACCCCAUGUAUCAUUAAGUGAAUACAUAGCUUAAUGAAGGUAACCCAGGGAACUGAAACAUCUAAGUACCUGGAGGAAGAGAAAGAAAAAUCGAUUUUCUUAGUAGCGGCGAGCGAAAGGGAAAGAGCCCAAACCGGAAACUUGUUUCCGGGGUUGUGGACAUAACAUAAAAGUGGAGGCUAUUGUAACUGAAGAGAACUGGAAAGUUCCACCGUAGAAGGUAAUAGUCCUGUAAGUGAAACGAGAAGACCACGAGUUAUGAUCCAGAGUACCACGAGACACGUGAAACCUUGUGGGAAGCAGGGAGGACCACCUCCCAAGGCUAAAUACUACCUGAUGACCGAUAGUGAAGCAGUACCGUGAGGGAAAGGUGAAAAGAACCCCGGGAGGGGAGUGAAAUAGAACCUGAAACCGUGUGCCUACAACCGCUCAGAGCCCCUUAUGAGGGUGAUGAGGUGCUUUUUGUAGAACGAGCCAACGAGUUACGGUAUGUAGCAAGGUUAAGUACUUAAGGUACGGAGCCGAAGGGAAACCGAGUCUGAAUAGGGCGACUAGUUGCAUGCCGUAGACCCGAAACCGGGUGACCUAUCCAUGGCCAGGUUGAAGCGAGGGUAAAACCUCGUGGAGGACCGAACCACGUUGCUGUUGAAAAAGCAUGGGAUGAGCUGUGGAUAGCGGAGAAAUUCCAAUCGAACCCGGAGAUAGCUGGUUCUCUCCGAAAUAGCUUUAGGGCUAGCGUCGAGUAUGAGUAGUGGAGGUAGAGCACUGAAUGGGCUAGGGGGCAUAGCGCUUACCGAACCUUAUCAAACUCCGAAUGCCACAUACUUUGAGCUCGGCAGUCAGACUACGAAUGAUAAGAUCCGUGGUCAAAAGGGAAACAGCCCAGAUCGUCAGCUAAGGUCCCAAAGUGUAAGUUAAGUGGGAAAGGAUGUGAGAUUUCUAAGACAACUAGGAUGUUGGCUUAGAAGCAGCCAUUCAUUAAAAGAGUGCGUAAUAGCUCACUAGUCGAGAGAUCUUGCGCCGAAAAUGUAACGGGGCUAAACUUACCACCGAAGCUACGGGCUUGAACUUAGUUCAAGCGGUAGGAGAGCGUCGUAACCGGGCUGAAGUCGUACCGUAAGGAGCGGUGGACUGGUUACGAGUGAGAAUGUUGGCAUCAGUAGCGAGAUGUGGGUGAGAAUCCCACAGGCCGAAAACCUAAGGUUUCCUCAGGAAGGUUCGUCCGCUGAGGGUUAGUCGGGACCUAAGCCGAGGCCGAAAGGCGUAGGUGAUGGACAACUGGUUGAUAUUCCAGUACCACUACCAUCGUUAUUAUCGAUGGCGUGACGCAGGAGGAUAGUGUGUGCUAGCUAUUGGAUGCUAGUCUAAGCGUUUAGGCAGUGAGAGUAGGCAAAUCCGCUCUCAUAAUGCUGAGGCGUGAUGGGGAAGGUUCUACGGAACCGAAGUACAUGAUUCCACGCUGCCAAGAAAAGCGUCUAGAGAGAGAAGUAGUGCCCGUACCGCAAACCGACACAGGUAGGUGAGGAGAGAAUCCUAAGGCCGGCGGAAGAAUUACAGUUAAGGAACUCGGCAAAUUGACCCCGUAAGUUCGCGAGAAGGGGUGCCUACGAGAGUAGGCCGCAGAGAAUAGGCCCAAGCAACUGUUUAGCAAAAACACAGGUCUCUGCUAAAGCGUAAGCUGAUGUAUAGGGGCUGACGCCUGCCCGGUGCUGGAAGGUUAAGGGGAACACUUAGCGCAAGCGAAGGUGUGAACUUAAGCCCCAGUAAACGGCGGCCGUAACUAUAACGGUCCUAAGGUAGCGAAAUUCCUUGUCAGGUAAGUUCUGACCCGCACGAAUGGCGUAAUGACUUGGGCACUGUCUCAACUGUAAAUCCGGCGAAGUUGUAGUGCGAGUGAAGAUGCUCGCUACCCGCGAUUGGACGGAAAGACCCCGUAGAGCUUUACUGUAGCUUAGCAUUGAGUUUUGGUAUUGUCUGUACAGGAUAGGUGGGAGACUAGGAAACCAGGGCGUCAGCCUUGGUGGAGUCAACCUUGGGAUACCACCCUGACAGUACUGAAAUUCUAACUGGCGGCCAUGAAUCUGGUCACAGGACAUUGUUAGGUGGGCAGUUUGACUGGGGCGGUCGCCUCCUAAAAAGUAACGGAGGCGCCCAAAGGUUCCCUCAGAACGGUCGGAAAUCGUUCGAAGAGUGCAAAGGCAGAAGGGAGCCUGACUGCGACACCCACAAGUGGAGCAGGGACGAAAGUCGGGCUUAGUGAUCCGGUGGUACCUCGUGGGAGGGCCAUCGCUCAACGGAUAAAAGCUACCUCGGGGAUAACAGGCUGAUCUCCCCCAAGAGUCCACAUCGACGGGGAGGUUUGGCACCUCGAUGUCGGCUCGUCGCAUCCUGGGGCUGAAGUAGGUCCCAAGGGUUGGGCUGUUCGCCCAUUAAAGCGGCACGCGAGCUGGGUUCAGAACGUCGUGAGACAGUUCGGUCCCUAUCCGUCGCGGGCGU